Molecule: transfer RNA, 82 nt
Organism: Felis catus (domestic cat)
Lineage: Eukaryota; Metazoa; Chordata; Mammalia; Carnivora; Felidae
Rfam family: tRNA
About the family: Transfer RNA (tRNA) molecules are approximately 80 nucleotides in length. Their secondary structure includes four short double-helical elements and three loops (D, anti-codon, and T loops). Further hydrogen bonds mediate the characteristic L-shaped molecular structure. tRNAs have two regions of fundamental functional importance: the anti-codon, which is responsible for specific mRNA codon recognition, and the 3' end, to which the tRNAs corresponding amino acid is attached (by aminoacyl-tRNA synthetases). tRNAs cope with the degeneracy of the genetic code in two manners: having more than one tRNA (with a specific anti-codon) for a particular amino acid; and 'wobble' base-pairing, i.e. permitting non-standard base-pairing at the 3rd anti-codon position.
Source: Rfam
GCCUAGGUGGCUCAGUCGGUUGAGCGUCUGACUUUGGCUCAGGCCAUCUCAUAGUUCAUGGGUUCAAGCCCCACGUCAGGCU